This is a long non-coding RNA of Gorilla gorilla gorilla (western lowland gorilla), 4740 nucleotides long. RefSeq lists it as uncharacterized. The transcript is spliced from 7 exons. The record is from RefSeq and is a predicted model, not a curated record. Lineage: Eukaryota; Metazoa; Chordata; Mammalia; Primates; Hominidae.
UAUUUUUAGCCGGGUCUCGGGCGCGAGCCCGCCGCGUGAGGGGGCGCCCUGACCCCGCCGGGAGUGCGGAGGGGGCGGGGGCGGAGUCGCCAUCUUGGACUCGGUUCGACCAGGUCUGGUGACCGGCGACGCGGGGCCGGGCUCGGCGCCGGGGGUCGGGAACUACUAUCAAUGCCUUUUACAAAAUGAGGUCAUUGGAUUGCAGAGUUGGCCUUCGAGAAGAUUUUGUGGCCUUUCUCAGCUGUCUAGGUGCUGUAGGUGCUGUGUUUCUAUGGCUGCAAGGAUGAAGAUGCUCUCAAGCUGGGCCAGUGGCCAACUGCAGAAAGGAGAGUGGCCGAGCAGGGCAGGUCAUAGAAGGCACAGGAUGGGGAAGGACACUGGAGACCAGGUUCCUGUAGGGCGUGUGGGAGGAUUACUCUUCCUGGCCCUGUUUAAGUGAGGUCUGGCCAAGUGAUUUGUCUUCACCAAUGAAAGAAAAGCAAAAAGAACAUGUCACUUCCAGGCAGAAUGUCUGGAAGCCAGUGGACAGUCUGCCUUGAUCCAUUGUCCUGCCUCAGAGGUCAUGGAAAUAUAUGUCAAGACUCAGUCUCUGUCAGCCUGGAUUCACCAGUGACUACAACCCUGCCAACCUCCCUGGGCAUGUAGGGGGAGAGAAAAAUAAGCUUCCAUUGUAUGAAGCUAAGAGAUCUGGAGAGUUAUUUCUUUCUGUAGCACACUCUGACUAAUAGAGUAGCUAGCAGCUAGGAGGUUUUUUAAUAUCUUUAUUUAGCAAAACGAAAUGGUGCCAAUCUUAGGUUGAUAUGAUUUUUUUUCUUUUGAUAUUUAAUUGCCCCGGGAAGUACAAUGCCUUGGACAUUCUGACACUGAUAACUGGAGUGUGGGGAGGUGUCCGGUUUAACACGGGUAACAGUUCUCAGGACAGGGGCCACUAUAUGGGACCCCUCAGCCCCAAUUCAACCAGAGUCACACCUGUUUUAUCUGCAUAAUGAAUAAAUGAACAAGGAUACCGGGCUUCUGCACAAGAUUUCACAUCAGGAAAGGGUUUUAUAGCUGAAAAAGAAAAAGUUAAAAGUUGUGCAGCAAAGACUAUGCUAAGCCCUGGGAAUGUUGUAAAGAAUGAGACAGACACAGGCUGCAUAUUGGCUAUGACUUUCAGCUUUGCGGGGCAUGGAGAGGCCGGAAGGGCAGACAAAAGACAAGUCAACUAAUUAAUUAAAUAACUGAAAGUAGAAACACUCUAUGUAGGUAAGAUAUGGGGACUGAAGUAGAGAUUAACAGGAGGUGGCAGGCUGGUAAGAUCUCUUGUCAGAAGAUAGUAUUUUAGUUGCAACCUGGAGGAUGGAAGGGCUACCAGGCAAAAAGGUGUGUAACCUGUUCAAGAGGCUGAAGGCCUGCGUAGCAGGAGGCAGGGCUGAGAAGGAGAGAAGAAGGAAAUAAGUUGGAGGAUCCACAGGAGCCUAAUAAGCAGGCUCUCACAAGCCACAAGGAGGGUCUCACUCUGUCACCAGGCUGGAAUGCAGUGGCACAUUCAUGGCUCAUUGCAGUCUUAACCUCCUGGACUCAAACAAUCCUCCAAUCUCGGCCUCCUGAGUAGCUGGACUACAGUGCCUUCUGGUAGAAGAUGUCUUCUCCCUAUGCAUUUGGUCCUGACAAAAACUAUGUGAGGAAUCUCCAGGAUAGCCAAAGAGUCCAGCUUAAAGGUAGCCAGCCAGAAAAAGUGCCCAAACCACGCAGUGAGAUCACACCUUUGAAGACUCCACCUUGGCAUAGACUCUACGGCUUUCACAAAUGAUGCUGAGCUCUCAGCAGCACCAGAACCUCAGGCUCUGACACCCGCAAAGCUGCAGGUCUCCAGGGCUGCUUGGGCCAAAAGGUGGGUUCUGGGCAGCCCCCUUCCUCCUGGUCCACUUCUAAACUACACUCUUCCCUGGGCAUAUCUGAUUCGUAAAGCCCAGGGCACGUGACUGAGUGACUGAAAACAACAGAAAUUUAUUGUUUUAUAUUUCUGGAGACAAGAAGUCCAGAAUCAAGGUGUUGGCAGUGCUGCCCUCCCUCUGGAGGCUGUAGGGGACAAUCCAUUUUUCGCCUCUUCCAGCUCCGGAGCUGUAGACAUUCUUCGAUUUGUGGCCAAAUUGCUCCAAUCUCUGCUUCUCUGAUCACAGCGCCUCCUUCUCCUCCCUCUCUGUGCUAAAUCUCAUUCUGCCUUACAUUUAUAAGGACAUUGGCACUGGAUUUAGAGCCCACCAGAUAAUUUGGGAUGAUCUUCUUCAUAUCAAGAUCCUUCACAUCUGCAAAGAUCCUUUUUCCAAAUAAGGUAAUAGUCACAGGUUCUGGGGAUUAGGACAUGGUACUUUUUUUUUUUUUUUCCGGAGGAGGGUAACCAUUCAACUCACUGUACCUGGCUAUAGAUUCAAACCACCAAUGAGGCUUUUUAUACAAGUACAGAUAUGGAAGCCUACUUAGACCAAUGGAAUUGAAAUCUUUAGGGCUGUGGCAUCUAGACUGCAUUUUGUUGUUGUUGUUGUCAACUCUCCAAGUAUUGUGCUGCUUAGCCUGGCUUGAGGACCAGUGAUUGUACAAUCCACCUCUUUAUACAGCUGAGACCAGAGGCCCGGACAGGGGCCAAGACCUCCUCAAGUCACAUUGUACAGGCUUGGACCCCCAGCAAGUGUUCCUCAGCCACUUCCAGCUGUGUGCAGCCCCCAUCCCACCAGGACCCUUCAGGCUUUCAGAGCACCCAGGUGGCCAGCAUCUUCUCUGGCUUGCUCUUAGCUAGGAUCCUUAUGAACUUCCUCAAGAUUCAGGACAAUGCCUGGCCUCAGAUUGGAUGGGUCCCCAAACAGGGGCCAAAUCAACCUGCUGACUUGCUGUGUGACCUCAAGGAAGUCACUGAACUUCUCUUGUUCUAGUUUGCUCAUCUUUAACAUGGAGGAUUCAGCUCAUUGUGCUCUAAGGCAACUUUCAUAGCAGAAAUGCUGUGAUUUGGUAAUUCUAAGCAUCCGAAAAUGUUUUCUUUGGCCCUUGGCCAUCCCAGGAUGUUUGAUAAAAUCUGAUCAUUUGGAUAAGUCCCAGAAAAGGAACAGAUCAGAGCCUGCGUUGGGUGCUGGGAGCCCACCUGAUGGGAGAAUGUGUGUAUACGUGGCGGGGAAUAGGGAGCAUGGUAAAGUGUGGAGACUGAGAACUAGAAAGAAUUAAAGAUUAUUCAACUUGUUCCAAAUAUAGAAACUGAGCCCCAGAGAAGGAAAUGAUUCGUUCAAGUUCAUACAGCUAGUUAAAGGCAGAACUGGGAUUAGAAUUAAUCCAUUCCUGGGUUCUUUCCCCUACAAUGAGGAUGACAAAUACAUUUCCUUUUCUGCCCUCUGAUCAAUUAGCAGUGGCUGCCUUGAGCACUGACUUCUGGAAGGUUCCCAGCUUCUUCAAAAUUCAGCAAGAAGAAUGCUGAUUGAUUAGCAAUGUCUGAUAUGGCCACAGGAAAGGAGAGUACCCAGAAUUUGUCAGCCAGGACUUACCAGGACUUGUGAUAGAACAAAAUUGCCAGUGGGGAACUUGAGGCUCAUUCCUCAUAGAGAACCAACAGGUGAAAGAAAAGCAGUAAACUACAUAAUUCCUUCUGCAGAAAACUCUUUUAAGUGCCUGGCCCAAAAUUCAGAGGUGGUAGUCAAUGCAUGCUUAGGGAACCAGUUCAGUCAAAGUUUGCUAAGUAACACUGGGAACAAAUAGUAUUGCAAACUGUGAAAAGGGAAGCAGAACAAGAUAAUGAGUAAGGUAGAAACACAUUGUACAAUGUGCACCAGAAGUUUUUGUUGUAUUUUUUAAUGUUGCUCCAACUGUAAUAUCACUGCUUAGACUGAGACAGUGAAAUUAAUUAUUUACUUUCAGGAGCAUAGUUGCAAAGUUGUAUGUAAAACUAUAUGAGCAUAUGGACUUGCUAAUUUCUCCAUGCCUAGAUUUAAUUCUAGUCAAUAACAAUAACAACAAUAGCUAUGUCAUUUAAUCCUCUUGACAACCUUAUGAGGUAAAUGUUUUUAUUAUCACUGUUUAACAGAUGAGGAAACUGAGGUAUAGAUGGGCUGAGGGACCUGUCCAAGUUCACACAAUUAAUAGGUGGCAGAACUGGGAUUUGAAUCUAACUUGUGAUUUCAACACGUCCCUCUAAUUAAAAGCUGGACCCAACCUGAGGCAUAUUUGAGAACUCAUGGAAGUUACUAGAAGUGGGGUAUAGGCCUCUUCAGAACUGGCCUUGAAAUUUCAACUCUUCUUAAUACAAAAGCAACAUCAUGGUCUUUCUCUUGUUUUCAUUUACUAGGCUCCAAAUCACCAAACUUCUUUGCCUCUCUGGGAAAACUAAAUGACCCACCACUUCAGAAGAAGCUCAUGGGGUCUGUGCACAGCUUUUCACAUCCUCCCUGAAACACCAACACGCCCGGUCCAGGUUAAAGGAUAUCAGCACUGCCACACACUCUUCUUUUUCCCAAAUUAAUCAAGAAGUAGGAAUUUCUGACAAAUGCCAUCUGCUGAUUUUUCAGAGAGACAAGUUUUGGUGGUGUGACCAGCAGGUGCCUCGGCUUUUUCUAGCAUGCAGUACCAAAAUAGUCACCAUGGCAACCCUGGGAGGGCAGACUUCCAAAGAGAUGCAUUGUGAGCACAGAAACUCUAGAGCACUUUCAAGCUAAAAGGAAGGAGGCUCAGCAGUGGGUUUCCAACCAUGGCAAGUAGCGGCUUCUCCCCACAGCCCUGGGC